GGUUGACCUCGGAUCAGGUAGGAAUACCCGCUGAACUUAAGCAUAUCAAUAAGCCGGAGAAA
RNAcentral lists this ribosomal RNA (62 nucleotides) under Colletotrichum fructicola. Its description in RNAcentral is "partial 28S ribosomal RNA". Lineage: Eukaryota; Fungi; Ascomycota; Sordariomycetes; Glomerellales; Glomerellaceae. The record is from RNAcentral.